This 27-nucleotide non-coding RNA is filed under the name Homo sapiens (human). The record is from RNAcentral. Lineage: Eukaryota; Metazoa; Chordata; Mammalia; Primates; Hominidae.
UGGAUAAGGACAGGUGGAAGCAAUGGU